GACGAACGCUGGCGGCGUGCUUAACACAUGCAAGUUGAACGGUCCGGCAUGGAAGCUUGCUGAAGUGUCGGGUAGUAGCGGACGGGUGAGUAAUGCAUGAGAAGCUGCCAUUGGGAGGGGGACAACAGUUGGAAACGGCUGCUAAUACCCCAUAUGCCGGAAGGUGAAACGGAGUGAUCCGCCCGAUGAGGUGCUCAUGUCCUAUCAGCUAGUUGGUGAGGUAACGGCUCACCAAGGCGACGACGGGUAGCCGGCCUGAGAGGGUGACCGGCCACACUGGAACUGAGAUACGGUCCAGACUCCUACGGGAGGCAGCAGUGGGGAAUAUUGGGCAAUGGGGGCAACCCUGACCCAGCGACGCCGCGUGAGGGAAGACGGCCUUCGGGUUGUAAACCUCUUUUGUACGGGAAGAAGGAUGUGACGGUACCGUGCGAAUAAGUCCCGGCUAACUACGUGCCAGCAGCCGCGGUAAAACGAGCGUG
RNAcentral lists this ribosomal RNA (482 nucleotides) under uncultured bacterium. Its description in RNAcentral is "bacterial SSU rRNA". It matches the Rfam family "Bacterial small subunit ribosomal RNA", at positions 28 to 533 of the family's 1533-position model. The record is from RNAcentral.